GCCUAACACAUGCAAGUUGAGCGAUUUACUUCGGUAAAGAGAGGCGGACGGGUGAGUAACGCGUGGGUAACCUACCCUGUACACACGGAUAACAUACCGAAAGGUAUGCUAAUACGGGAUAAUAUAUUUGAGAGGCAUCUCUUAAAUAUCAAAGGUGAGCCAGUACAGGAUGGACCCGCGUCUGAUUAGCUAGUUGGUAAGGUAACGGCUUACCAAGGCGACGAUCAGUAGCCGACCUG
RNAcentral lists this ribosomal RNA (239 nucleotides) under Clostridioides difficile. RNAcentral's name for it is "partial 16S ribosomal RNA". It matches the Rfam family "Bacterial small subunit ribosomal RNA", at positions 46 to 294 of the family's 1533-position model. The record is from RNAcentral. Lineage: Bacteria; Bacillati; Bacillota; Clostridia; Peptostreptococcales; Peptostreptococcaceae.